GACGAACGCUGGCGGCGUGCUUAACACAUGCAAGUCGAACGGAAAGGCCCUGCUUUUGUGGGGUGCUCGAGUGGCGAACGGGUGAGUAACACGUGAGUAACCUGCCCUUGACUUUGGGAUAACUUCAGGAAACUGGGGCUAAUACCCGAUAGGAGCUCCUGCAGCACGGUGGGGGUUGGAAAGUUUCGGCGGUGGGGGCUGGACUCGCGGCUUAUCAGCUUGUUGGUGGGGUAGUGGCUUACCAAGGCUUCGACGGGUAGCCGGCCUUGGAGGGGGACCGGCGACAUGGGUACUGCGAGACGGCCCAGACUCCUACGGUAGGCAGUAGGGGGGAAUCUUGCGCAAUGGGCGGAAGCCUGAUGCAGCAACCCCGGGUGCGGAAUGACGUGUUUCGGGUUGUAAACCGCUUUCGCCUGUAACGAGGCGUGAGUGACGGUAAUGGGUAAAGAAGCACCGGCUAACUACGUG
RNAcentral lists this ribosomal RNA (468 nucleotides) under uncultured bacterium. RNAcentral describes it as "partial 16S ribosomal RNA". It matches the Rfam family "Bacterial small subunit ribosomal RNA", at positions 28 to 507 of the family's 1533-position model. The record is from RNAcentral.